GAAGAGGGAAGAGCCCAAGAUUGAAAGCUGGCGUCUUCGGCGUCCGCAUUGUAAUCUCAAGAAGUGUUUUCCGCUUCGGACCAUGCCUAAGUCCCUUGGAAAAGGGCAUCAUAGAGGGUGAUAAUCCCGUACAUGGCAUGGAGCGCCCGAGGCUUUGCGAUACACUUUCUAAGAGUCGAGUUGUUUGGGAAUGCAGCUCAAAAUGGGUGGUAAAUGCCAUCUAAGGCUAAAUAUUGGGGAGAGACCGAUAGCGAACAAGUACAGUGAUGGAAAGAUGAAAAGAACUUUGAAAAGAGAGUUAAACAGUACGUGAAAUUGCCAAAAGGGAAGGGUAGGAGGUCAGAGAUGCGUCUUGGGAUUCAGCCUUGCUUUUUUGCUCGGUGUUUUUCCCAAGUUGCAGGCCAACGUCGGUUUUGGGCACUGGAGAAGGGUGGAAGGAACGUGGCACCCCUCGGGGUGUGUUAUAGCCUUCUACUGGAUACAGCGACCGAGACCGAGGACAGCAGCGUACUCGCAAGAGCGGGCCUUCGGGCACCUUUACGCUUAGGGCGUUGGCAUAAUGGCCCUCUACCA
This 573-nucleotide ribosomal RNA is filed under the name Anthracocystis polliniae. RNAcentral's name for it is "LSU rRNA". It matches the Rfam family "Eukaryotic large subunit ribosomal RNA", at positions 95 to 647 of the family's 3401-position model. Lineage: Eukaryota; Fungi; Basidiomycota; Ustilaginomycetes; Ustilaginales; Ustilaginaceae. The record is from RNAcentral.